RNAcentral lists this ribosomal RNA (253 nucleotides) under uncultured bacterium. RNAcentral describes it as "partial 16S ribosomal RNA". It matches the Rfam family "Bacterial small subunit ribosomal RNA", at positions 524 to 776 of the family's 1533-position model. The record is from RNAcentral.
GACAGAGGUCUCAAGCGUUGUUCGGAUUCAUUGGGCGUAAAGGGCUCGUAGGUGGCCAACUAAGUCAGACGUGAAAUCCCUCGGCUUAACCGGGGAACUGCAUCCGAUACUGGAUGGCUUGAGAUUGGGAGAGGGAUGCGGAAUUCCAGGUGUAGCGGUGAAAUGCGUAGAUAUCUGGAGGAACACCGGUGGCGAAGGCGGGUCUCUGGGCCGUAACUGACGCUGAGGAGCGAAAGCGUGGGGAGCGAACAGG